AAGCUUUCAAAUAAUUUAUAAUAUAUUUCAUUUUCCUUAAUAAUUUUCAAUUUUCAUAGCAACCAGAUAAGAGAAACCGAGAUUCCUCCUGUCUUUUCCUUCCCAUCCUAGUCGUGUUGAAGGUCCAGACUAAGCAUAGAGUUUAGGAAUGAAUAUAACCAACUCAUUAUUCUAGUUUCUAAGAAAAAAAUCUGAGUUCUUUUCAUUAAUAUAACCAACUCAUUCACGAUCUGAAAAUAAAGAGAUCUAUCAUAUCCCCCUAAAGUGUAUAUUGUAUAUGAUUUUAUGGUUUCCAUCACUGCAAAUACAAUCACCUAAAUUUAAGAUCAUAAGCAACUCCCCAUUGGCAAAGGGUAUUCAUCAAGUGGGGAAAAUCAGCAGAAAUAUUAAGUUCCCACUCUUGCAAGAAUGGACUAAACAGGGUCCAGUACCUAGCUAACAUUCAUAAUUAAAUACUGUUACUAUAUAGGUAGAGCUCAUUGUAAAAUACCUAUUAUUCUAUAAUUCAUGGGUAGAGCCAAAGAGUUCAUUACAAGUUGUAAAUAACAUUUAUUAAAUGAAGAAAGGAGCUCCAGCGUGUAGAAAGAACCUCACUGUUUAAGGAGUAACCAUAGAAACGAUCCACAUUCAGAAUAGAGCAUAUUUAAUCCAAUUAAAUUAAAGAGUAAUUUAUUGAAUUAUUAAGUGAUUACUACUCAAAAUGUGCUAUUUUAUAGCUUGUAAUUAACUCUUUUAAACACUUUUGACUAGUAGUUAUUACCUUUUAACUUAAUUGGCAUGUUAAGGACCCUUGCAAUCGUUUCUAAUAAAAUUGUGUUAAGUUUUGGUGUUUUUCAUAGCUUUUUUAUCACCAAAGCAAUCCAAGAAUGAGGGAGAUCUUUGUAUAGUUCAUGGCAAAGCAAGUUGAAGCUCAAAUUCAUGAAGAAACUAAGCUUUGGAGCUUCAUAACCCUUUGCCAAAGCCAAACGAGGAUGCAAGGAAGAAAAUCACAUAAGAAAUCAACCAUCCAGCAAUUUCGCAAGUUGUGGAAUCCAACUUGCGAAAUUUUCGCAACUUGCGAAAUAGGAAGAGGAAAGGAAUUGCUGCAGGACAGAGAGCUGAUUAGUUGCAGGACAAUUUCGCAACUUGCAAAACCACAAUUUCAACUUGCGAAAUGGACAAUUUCAACUUGCGAAAUUUUCGCAAGUUGCGUUUGAACUUGCGAAAUCCACCUGUAAUCUGAGAUAUUUGCGCACUGACUCCGCUUGAUAUUUAUCUUCAGAUAUUUGUGUGUAAAUCCCUAUUUUCUCCUUGUAACCCACUAAUGACAAGUUUUCUUGGUUGGGAAGUUAGCAGGAGGGGUGAAUAGCUUCUCUAUAUAAUAUCUAUUGUAAUUUUCUUUUAAAAAAAGAUCGCUGGGGAGUUUUUCUCAGAGACGAACUUUUGUAUAGUUUUUCAGAAAGUAAUACACAAAGCUCUGCUCUGCCUUACCUUCUCAUUUUGUUUUCUCUUUUAUUUUUAUUUCUAGCAAAUCAAACUCUGAGGAUGUUUUCCUAGAGGAUGAGUGGCUAGGCUUUUUGUUUCUCGGAGUGAAGGAAGCUAGGUAAGGUUCCGGAUACAAAAGUGAAAGUUUCGUUGUUUCAGUUUUUAAUGAAGAGAAAGUGUGACCCGUUAAUGGUUUUUAUCUUUUUAGUUAACUUAAUAUCCCUUAAAAUCAGCUGGGCCAACACUUGGUAAGGCAAGUGGACUUCGUUCAUUGAGAUCCACUAGUUUAUCUCUUGCGAGCCUCUGGGAGGUGGUUUAUAGGUAGAUUUAUCUAGAAUAGCCAACACUUGGUAAGCUUUUGGACUCCCAGGAGACAUCCAUUAGUUAUCUCUUGCGAGCUUUUGACGGGUAAUCCAAGGUUAAGGAUCACCUUGAAUGGCCAAUACCGGGUGAGAGGUAUGAACCAUUGCAAGAUGAUCCAGUGACAGGGAUUUAGUGUUUGAAACCAUUAAGGGGAAGCAUCUGUACCACACCGGUUCGAGAAAUAACUAUUUGUUAAAUCCCUAAUGCAAAGAAAAGAUCCAAGUGACCAGAAUCUUUCUUUUUGUAUAAGGAACCUGAGCCUAGUGAUCUAAAACUCCAAGAAGCAUUUUUUUUUUAAAGUAAUUUCAGUUACUUUAUUUUUUGUUUCACUUAAAACCAACCUUUCACACAUACUUAUGUUUUCUUUUAAAGCUAAUCUUGAAAAGAAAAAACAUCAAUUCAGUUUUUGAACUAAUAUCAGUUGUAAUUUGAAAACUCAUCCUUGUGGACGAUCCUAGAGCCACUAUGCUAUGCUAACUAAUGCUACCUUAGUAUAUGGUGAAAUAGGUUUAUAAAUUUUGUUGAUUACUCCCAUCUGAGGACUGAAAUCAAAGCACACCAGUUGAUUGAACACCAAUCAACAGGGCAUACACCAGCUGGGCAUGAAUCAUUAAGCACACCAAAAAGGCAAUCCAAGGGUCUCAUGCGAAUCCAUGUCCUAAUAUAGAUCCAAUAUAGGAAAUUACAGAUCUGGGAGAUAUAAAAUCUAAUAGAUAGGUCUUGCUGAUUUAUUACCUAGACUUUAUUUCAGUUCUGAACUAGGACAUGUAUAUUAUAUUCUUUCUUCUGCCUCAUUGACAAAUGGCAGCAAGUGCGCAAAUCAAACACUUCUCAACAUGAUCAUAUUAUCACAUAACAGCUAACACUGAGUUAACUAUCUCAUACUGUUGAAAGAGAGAGAGAGAAAACCUUAAUUCUCAUUCAUAUGAUUAACUUCUUACAAUAGAGAAAUAUAUAUACAAGGCUAGGUUGAACUAACUACAAUAUAUGUGACCUAUAUUAAGAAAGGAAAGAAAGAUUGUACACUAUAAAUACAAUAUAUUCAACGCUCCCCCUCAAGCUAGAGCAUAUAUGUUAUAUGCACCAAGCUUGUUACAAAUGUAUUUAAUCCUAGGACCUCUGAGAGAUUUAGUGAAGAUGGUUGCUAGUUGAUCCAUUGAAUUAAGAAAACUUGUAGCAACACACCCUAAUGCGAUCUUCUCUCUAAUGAAGUGACAAUCAACUUCAAUAUGUUUGGUCCUUUCAUGAAAGACUGGAUUUGAUGCAAUAUGUAAUGCGGCCUGAUUGUCACAUACUAGCUUUAUUUGUUCAUCUUUUCCAAAUCUCAAUUCCUGAAGGAGUUGCCUCAACCGUAUGAGUUCACAUGUUGCCAAAGCCAUAGCUCGAUACUCAGCUUCGGCGCUUGAUCUGACCACUACAUCUUGUUUCUUACUCUUUCAAGAUAUUAAGUUACCUCCAAUAAAAACACAAUACCCUAAGGUGGAACGCCUAUCUGAGGGUGAACCAGCCCAGUUUGCAUUUGUGUAACCAACAAUUUGGGUAUGGCCCCUGUCUUCAUACAACAUACCUUGGCCUGGUGUUCCUUUAAUAUAUCGAAGAAUGCGGAUCACAGCAUCCCAAUGGUUGUCACAUGGUGACUGUAAAAUUGACUAACCACACUCACAGGAAAAGAGAUGUUUGGCCGAGUGAUGGUGAGGUAAUUCAAUUUGCCUACAAGUCGUCGAUAUCUCCCAAGAUCUCUUAGAGGCUCCCCCUGUCCUGGUACAAGUUUGACAUUUGGAUUCAUAGGAGUGUCAACAGGUUUACAUUCUAACAUACCUGUUUCUUCCAAGAUGUCUAAGGCAUACUUCCUUUAUGACAUAACCACACCUGAACUGGAUUGAGCUAUUUCAAGUCCCAGAAAGUACUUGAGUUUGCCCAAGUCUUUGGUUUGAAAGUGGUUGAAAAGGUGUUGCUUUAGUCUUUGGAUACCCUCCUGAUCACUACCUGUAAUGACAAUGUCAUCCACAUAAACUACCAAAUAGAUGUACUGGCUCGAAGAGUUAUGAUGAUAGAAAACUGAAUGAUCUGCUUCACUCCAAAGCAUUCCAAACUCUUGAACAACAAAACUAAAACGUCCAAACCAUGCUCGAGGAGACUGUUUCAAGCCAUAUAGAGAGCGGCGUAACUUGCACACUAAACCAGACUCCCCCUGAGCAACAAAACCAGGUGGUUGCUCCAUAUACACUUCCUCGAGAAGUUCACCAUGAAGGAAAGCAUUCUUAAUAUCCAACUGAUAAAGAGGCCAAUGACACAUAGCUGCCAUGGAGAGAAAUAAGCGAACAGAAGCAAUCUUGGCAACAGGAGAGAAGGUGUCAUCAUAGUCACAACCAUAAAUCUGAGUAUAACCUUUAGCAACCAAGUGGGCCUUAAGGCGAUCAACCUGACCAUCAGGACCAACUUUAACAGUGUAGACCCAACGACAUCCAACUGUAGAUUUAUCAGGAGGUAAAGAAACAAGAUCCCAUGUGCCAUUAGAGUGCAGAGCAGCCAUUUCAUCAACUAUUGCAUGUCGCCACCCAAGAUGAGAAAGUGUCGCACUACUGCUCUUAGGAAGAGAAACAGAGGAUAAAGUAGAGACAAAGGCAGAAUAGGAUGAAGACAAUCGAUGGUGGCUCAAAAAAUUAUAAAUAGGAUGAGGAUUACGAGUAGAUCGAUUACCUUUCCGAAGAGUAAUAGGCAAAUGGUCAGUAGAUGACAGGGUCGAGGUAGGAGAAAUCGGUGGGACAGGAGGUGAGUCAUUAGGUACCUCAGCUGAAGAGAGGGGAGGAGCAACAGCACGAUGUCGACGAUGAUAAACCUGAAGAAGACGAGAGAGCGCAUCUGAAGGGGGGGAUAUAUAGGGAAGUGGCAAUACUUCAGAAAUGGGAAGAGAUUUAGAGGAUGAGAAGAAUGGAGAGUCCUCAAAGAAGGUGACAUUAGCGGAGAGAAAAUAACGAUGAGUGUCAGGGAAUAACAACGAUAGUCCUUCUGAAGUCGAGAGUAUCCUAAGAAGAUGCAUUUCGUAGCCUUGGCAGAGAGCUUGUCCUGUCCAGGUGUGAGAGUAUGAACAAAACAAGUACAACCAAAGACACGAGGAGGAAGAAAAUAAAGAGGUUGGGUAGGAAAAGGAAGGGAAUGAGGGAUUUGGUUAUGUAAUAUAGAUGAGGGCAUACGAUUAAUCAAGUAACAAGCUGUAAGAAGAUCCCCCCAAAAACGAAAAUGAACAUGACUAUGGAGAAGGAGGGUACGAGUUGUCUCAACAAGAUGUCGAUUUUUACGUUUAGCAACCCCAUUUUGUUAAGGAGUAUGAGCACAAGAUGACUGAUGGAGGAUCCCAUGUUGGGACAUAAAAGAAGUAAAGGGUGUAGAAAAAUAUUCUCGAGCAUUGUCACUGCGUAACACUCGAAUAUAAACAUUGAAUUGUGUUUGGAUUUCAGCAUAAAAUUUCUGGAAAAUAGAGAACAACUCAGCUCGAUUUUUCAUUAAAAAUAACCAAGUACAUCUUGAAUAGUCAUCAAUGAAAGUGACAAAAUACUGAAAUCCUAAAGUAGACGCGGUCCGACACGGACCCCAAACAUCAGUGUGGACAAGUUCAAAAUGAGACUUUGCUCGAUUAUUCAAACGCUUUGGGAACGAGACACGAGUAUGUUUUCCAAGCCGACACGACUCACAUGCAAGCGACGACAAAGUGGAAAAACGAGGGACCAUCUUCUGGAAUAUGAAGAGACUAGGAUGACCCAGACGACUGUGAAUGAGAAGAGGAGCAUCAAUGGAAAUGCAAGUUGCAGGAGAUGAAGAUGAUGUGAGGUGAUAGAGGCCGUAAGACUCACGCCCUAUGCCAAUCGUCUUCCCCGUACUCCAGUCCUGCAAGAUCACAGAUUUAUCAGAAAAAGUGAUAGAACAGUUAAGAGUGCGAGUUAUUUUGCUGAUGGAAAUAAGAUUAAAAGGAUACUCAGGGGCAUAAAAGACAGAAUGAUGAGAUACGGAAGGGAGAGGAUGAGCCAAACCAAUACCUUUAGUCAUAGUUUGGGAACCAUUAGCUAAAGUAACAGUAGGUAAGGCAGAGGUAGUAGUAAUAGAGAAGAAAAUGUAUCUAUUACCAGAGAUAUGAUCAGAUGCUCCAGAAUCUGAAAUCCAUGGGCCAAGAGAAGGAGACUAAGUAAAGCAGAUAGAGACAUUACCGGUCUGGGCAACAGAAGCAACAUAAGUUGAUGUGGCUGCCUGAUAUCGGAGAUAGGCAUCAUAAUCACUACCAGCAAGGGUGAUACUCUGAGAUGUGAAGCUCGCAGCGGAGUCAGGUCGAGAUAGCAGAGGAUCAGAUGACUGAGCAAUGUGGGCAGUGCAAGGAGGCCGUCCAUGCAACUGAUAGCAACGAUCUCGAGUGUGACCAAGCUUAUUACAAUAGGUGCACUGAAGACGUUGUCCUCGACCCCGAUUGCCACUACGUCCUCCUCGAGAGUUAGUUUGAGAGGCUAACACAGAUGAAUCUGAAGGACCAUCAAUCGACAAGGUCUGAGUAGAGGAGAGGCGUAAGAGACGAGCGAACACAUCAUCCAAUGAUGGUACUGAUGGACUAGCAAGAAUCUGAUCUCGGACAGACUCAAGAUCUAGACGGAGGCCAAUGAGGGUUAACACCAUAAAGAACUUGUCAAUCUGUAUUUGUUGAGCUUUAGCACUAGUGAAGGACAUCAAAGUUAAGAACUCCUCCUUAAGAGACGCAAUCCGGCCAAUAUAAGUAGACAGAUCCAUGUCCUGCUGUCUCACAUGAACAAUAUAAAAAACCACCUUAUAAAAUCGUUGAAUAUCAUUCGUGUAUAAUCCUUUAGCCUGAGUCCAAAAUUUAAAGCAGGUUUUGUAGACACGAAGAUGAUGUAAAAUUUUGGGAUCAACAGAUUGUCAUAAUACGCUGCAUAAUUGUGCAUCGAUUUUCUUCCAUUGGACUUUGUCAACAUCAGGUAUAGCAUCCUCAGGUGUAACAAGAUGAUCCUCAUAACCUUGUCCCAUAAACCAGAGUUCCACGGACGCUGACCAGGAGAGAUAAUUCUCACUACCAAUCAAUUUUUCCGAUGUGAUAGUAGGAGAUCUAGAGAUGACGGAUGUAAAAAUAGGAUUUCUAGUCGCCAUAUCCACUUCACCUGAGAUUGAAUCAUGUUUGGAUCGAAAAGAGCCCUAAAGAGAGGUCGGAUGACAGCUGUGGAGAAGAACCUGGUAUGUCGGGACCCAAACAAAGGAGAAAAGUGACUAGAGAUGAAGAAGAGGCCUUCCCAAGGCACACACAGGUCUCGGCCAAGGAAAGGAGCUGCCGUUGAAGGCCGUUGGAGGCUGAAAUACCAAAAAAAUGGAGAAGUAGGGUUCGGAGAGGACUGAUAGAGGCUUAGAAGUGCAAGACAGCGCCGGACGAGCCUGUUGGUAGAAGCUCGGCACCAGAAAGUGGGCCACGCGCCCUCGCACGCCGGCGCGUGGGAUUCAGGCUGCCAGAUAAAAACGGCGCGUGGGAGGCGCGUGAAUUAGUUUUUGGCUUCAGUGCUUUCAGAAAAGUUGCAGAUCUCCUCUUUGCGCUCCUGAUGAUGUGGUCGGUGUCGGAAAAUAUCGCCAGAAAAAAAGUCUCCGGAAAAUAUCGCCAGAAAAAUGUUGACGGUGAUGAGGGUUUUCUGACCACGAUAUGGCUGACCGGAAAGCUUUGGGAGAUGGAAAAGGUGACCGGAAUGAAACACGGUCACUGGACAGAUUCCCGGAAUUAAUUACACGGGUAAACCAGAAAGAAUAAAGUUCUCUCCCUUGGCUUUGAUACCAUGUUGAAAGAGAGAGAGAGGAAACCUUAAUUCUCAUUCAUAUGAUUAACUUCUUACAAUAGAGAAAUAUAUAUACAAGGCUAGGUUGAACUAACUACCAUAUAUGUGACCUAUAUUAAGAAAGGAAAAAAAGAUUGUACACUAUAAAUACAUUAUAUUCAACACAUACAUUUUGUAUCUACUCUGCAUGCCUACCUAUAAGAAGUUGUGAAUUAGGUUUUGACUCAAUAGCAUCUUAUCCGAUAAUCAGGAGUUAUAAAGAUAUAAAAUGGUGAAACGUCUUGCCCUUGUGAUCCAAUUAUAUCAGUUCUAGGUUUGUAAGUAUCCAAACUAGGACUCAUGAAUCUAGUUACUUCAACCCUGCAGCCAUGAGUAACAAAUGGGUUAACUAAAUUUUGCCUCACAAUAAGUUGGUACCUCAGACUCCAUUUGAGCAUGGGUGUCUGCUGCAUUAGAAAGUGAUUGGUAUCUCUCACUAGCAAUCCUUGAUCUUUCAUUCCUGUAACUGUUACGCCAUCCACUGGCAGCUGAUGGCCUUGGAUAUCUGGAAGAAAAAGUUUCUGAGGGGAACUGCAAACCAUUUUCAGAGUGAGCUGCUUCAUGUCCCAAGUGGGGAUAGCUAAGACCACUCCUGUAUGAAGGUAUAAAUCUUUGAGAAUAGCUACUGUGGCCUUCCCUCACAGACUGACCAGACAGACCGUGAAGAUAUUGUGGAAGGGAAAUGGGGAAUCUGCUUGAAACAGAGCCAUGAUGGUACCCACUGAUAUCCACAGUACUUCUUCCCACAACAAACCUAUCUGUCUCAUGGCUCAAGCCAUUUGUUUCUGCAAGAUUUUACCAAACAUUCUUUUAGAGACAAUGGAAGAGUUAAACAGGAAAAGUAAUAUAUGGAAAACAAACCUGAAUUUAAAAAUCUUCCAUAACCAGCUGGAGGCACAGCAGUAUGGCUCCUUUCAUAAGUGGUGGAAUUGGCUGUUAAAUUUGCAAGGUCUACUCUACUAGAAUGGUUUAUCAGAUUGGUUGUUGGACAGUAAUAAUGAGAAGAAUAGCUCGAUAAAUGACCAGUUGUUCUGUUGGGUUCCCACUCAAAUCUAGAUCGUCUUCUCACAUUCCUUAGAGAUGCUUCACCAGAAAUUGAGAGACUACUGGCCCCAUAAUGAGAUAACCCAGGACCAUAAAAGUAGUUUUGAUAAUCUAAAGUUGGUUUGUCCAGAUGAAAUUCAGAAAAACCAGAGGAACUUCCUGCAUCAUAAAAUCUGCUUGGAAUGCCCCUCUCAUAGGCUAUAGAAAUGCUGGGGCUUUUUCUUUUGAAUGGUCCUCUGCUGUUUUGCACUGCAGGAUCUUGUGAACCACCUUCAACUUCAUGAAUAGUGCUUCUGUUGUAGUAAGUAGAAUGAGCAUGGCUAGCAUUAUUCUCCUGAGUCCGAUAAAAGGUUCCAGCAGCUGACAAGUGUGAGAAUGGAUCAUGAGAUGGACCUGGGACAGCUGCUUGAAAACACGGCCUUUGCAUGCUGAAACUUGAUAAAGAAUGUUCAUUGGUUCCGCAAUUCAGAUUCCGCGGAAAGGCACUGCUUACCCCACUUGUGAGUGCAUUCUCCAUUUGAUGAACAUAAGAUCCAUACACAGGAUCAACAGCCCUUCCUGUAUACAAAUAUCAGAAUCAGCAAUUACCUGUGGUAAAAGUUAGCAAUCUAAGGGUUGGAUCUUUUAGGCUACACAAUGGUGUUCAACCUUGCCUUAGUUGUCUCCAGAAAUUUUAGAAUCAAGGAUAUAAAAUUUCAAUUAAAAAUGUUGAAAAUUUCAAAGUAGACCAAAAUUGAAAUGCCGUCACAAAUACUUUUCAUAAUCAUGUCUUCACCCUGAAUAUGUGCAACAUAUUUAGAAUAAUUUGUUGGUCUUCAUCAUCGGUAGAGGUGGAGGCACAUGGGACAUGUGUACACAUUAUCAAAAAAAAAGAAAAAAAAAAAAAGAAAAAAAAAAAGUUCAGAACUAUUGAGGAGUAUUAGAUGCAUACUUGAGAAGUGAGAAAGAGUGAGGAACAAUGAAAAAAUUAGAAACAUGGUUAAGAAACAUGGAGAUAGGAGAAACUUUUAGGAGCUUCAUGUGCCUAUUUCAAAUCAAUUUACACAAUCAACCUUAUCACAAAACUUAUUUAUAAUUAAACCAUUAUAAGCUUAGAGACGUUAUGGUAUUUGUUUUUUGGAUGAAUAGAAAAGGCCAAAAUAUUUGACUUUUUCUAUUAAGUUAAAAGUAACUUAUUGAUAUCAACUAACACAAUUAAAGUGAACUUGUUAUCUAUAAGUUCAAUUUAGUUUUUUUUUUUUUUGUUGAUAUCAAUAGGUUACUUUUAGCUAAAUAGAAAAAGUCAAAUAUUGUCUUUUUCUAUUUAGCCAAAAAAACAAACACCACCAAGUUUCUAGAAGAUCAAAGCUCUUCACUACAUGCUAGGAUACAACCCAAAGUCCAUGGGGAUUAAAAGAACGGCAUGGAAAAAAAGAAAAGAAAAAAUCAUCCAGGAAGUGAAUGGACAUGCAAAAAGGUUUCCAGCUGUGCACCUGAAUGAAUAUAAGACUGAUAUGCAUCCAUAUGAUAUUGGUUCUGAUCUUGGUCUGCCACAGACAUUUGGAAUGAGUUUGUAAAGUAUCGAUGCCCCAUGGCUUCAAAAGUUAGAAGAAAAGGAAGGUGAAACACCAACCUGCACAUCAGAAAAAAUGUAUUUUGGAACCUCAGAACCUGCGGGAAGUUCCCAAUGGAACAAUACAAGAAAUAAUUUGAGUGCAUAUGUAAAGUUCUAGAAAAUAAAUAUACAAGCAUGACAAGAUUAGCUAAGGCUUAAUAUAGAAGUAUAUAUAUUUAUAAAUUUUUCAGGCCUACCUCAUCUGGAGAGGACCAAUCAUCUAACUGUUGCCUCAUGCCUUAAAUACAUUAGUGUGGAGCCUAAGUUUGAGACAACUGUGUAAUUUCUUGAAAUCAGGAAACGACUUUUUUUUUAUUGUUGUUGUUGUUGGGGGACCAAUUGAUGGUUGGGGGUUUAAAUUGGGAGAUACCAAAGAGUGAUUGGAAAGUUAAUCAACCUUUAUCACACAAGGCCUGAUAUAGCCUACGUUGUGAGCUUGGUAAAUCAAUUCAUGCAUUCACCCUUAGGGUGUCACAUGGAGGUUGUUCAAAGCAUUCUAAGAUACCUUAAGUUUACACUAGGAAAGGGUUUAUUGCAAAUUGAAGCUUACAAAGAUGCAAAUUGAGCAGGUCCAUCACAAAUGAUAGGUCAAUCUCAGGUUAUUGCAAAUUUGUGGGAGGAAAUUUAGUCCCUUGAAGAAUUAAAAAACAACCUAUAGUGGCAAGAUCAAGUGCAGAAAUUGAAUUUUGUACAACUCAAGGAAUAUGUGAAUUAUCAUGGCUCAAGAAUCUUAUGAAGGAGUUAAGGAUGGAUCCUAUUAAACCUAUGAGAAUAUAUAGUGAAAAUAAAGCAACAACCUUUUUUUUUUUUGAUAGGCAAAUAAGAGUAAAUAUAAAAAUAAAUUAAAAACACAAUUAAAAAAAAAGGUGAUUACAAUAGACUCGAAGAAUACAUUUGAGAAAACCAAAAAAAGCAAGCUAUAAUCACAAGCCCAAUCUAGCACUUAAAGCUCAAUCACUCGAUAAAAUCUAUCACGGAUAAUGGACUAGCUUGACCAUCAACUAUAAGAUAGCCCUAAGACCACAUGUAUGGAUUAGAUAUACGGGAGUUCUUAAGAGAUUGACUAGUGCAUUGCACCCCUUCAAAAGUUCUUGGGUCGCAUUCCUUCCAGAUUGUCUAGAAGAGGCAAAAAGGAGUUACUCUCCAAGCCUUUCUUCUCUUCUUGCCUACAAAGCUCCCAUACCAACCCUAUAACAAAUUCCUCACCAAAUAUGGGAGAACAAAAUGCCAACUAAGAAGAACAAUAAGUGUCAAAGUCCUUUGCUUUCCCACAAUGGAUGAGUAAAUGGUCUUCUUAUUCUUUUGCAUCUUUAAACAUAACAAUAACCUUCUAAAAACAUCCUCUCCUUCUAAGCUGGUCUAUGGUGAGAAUCCUUGCCCAAGCCGCUUCCCAUGGUGAGAAUCCUUCCCUAAGCUGCUUCCCAUGAAAAAAAAUCCCACUUUGGAAGGAGCCCAAGAGCCCCAAACUAACUUUGAGGGGGCUAACACUUCAUUCUCCAAUUCCAAGGUGGAGUAAAAAGACUUCAUCGAGAAUUCCCCACUUUUGCUAGCCUUCCAAACCAUCUUGUCCUCCUCUCAACUACUUCUUCCUAAUACACAUAGCUUCCCAAGAAACUCUUUGACAUUAUCCAUCUCCCAAUCUUUAAAAUGUCUUAAGAUGCACAAGUUCCACAUGAAUAAGGCAACAAUAAGCAUUGCACAUAAUCCACUACAACAUAAAAAGACCAAGCACAUUGAAGUUGACCAACAUUUAUUUAGGAAAAACAUUUAGAGUGGACAAAUUUGCACUCUUUAUUCCAACAAAGAAGAAAUCGGUUGAUAUCUUCACAAAGUGAGCAAGUUGGGAAUGAAAAUUAUCUUCAAACCAACUUGAGUGAGAGUCAGAAUAUUAUUUUCAGCUCGAGUGAUUUGUUUUUUUUUUUUUGAUAAGUAAAGGAUAUGCAUUAAAAAGGCAAAACGCCACAAAGCAUACAGGGAGUAUACAAGGCGGCUAAGGCCUCAAAAAACAAAGACAAAAAGAAUCACCUCCCUUUAGGUGGAUGCUAUCCAAUCCAGGAAGCCUAUAAGGGAGAACGUCUCCUCACCUACAUACAAUUUGGCCCAACUCUACAAAUUACAGACAAAAAAAUUCUUUAACUUCUGAAUGUUCAACACACCCCCCAUAAAAGCUAAUCUAUUCCUCUCCUUCCAUACCGUCCAAAAAAUACACAAUGGAAUGGCGUCCCAAAUCUUUUUCCUUUUCUUCCCCACAAACGAGCCCCUCUAGCUAGCUAAGGCCUCCUUUACAAUUUCUGGAAAAACCCAUUUCACAUCAACUAAACCAAAAACAAUAUCCCACAAAGCUCUAACCACUGUACAAUGUAUAAGGAUAUGAUUUACACUUUCUUCUUCACAUCCACACAGGAAGCAACAAUUUGGAAGUUGCACCCCUCUUCUUUGAAAUCUAUCCAACGUAAGCACCUUCCCCCACGUCGCCUCCCACGUGAAGAAUGCAACUUUAGUUGGCACCCUUGCCACCCAAAUGCUUCUUAAAGGAAAAUCUGUGUCAUUAGACUUAGUCAACAAUCUAUAAGCUUCCUUGACCCUGAACUGACCACUUCUUCCUUGCCUCCACAGGACUGAAUCUUCCUCCAAAGAGGGCUUAUGACCCCUCAGCAUAUGGAGAAAUUCCCCAACCGUAUCCAACUCCCAAUCAUUGAAAUCCCUCAAAAAAAUUAGGUUCCAAUUUCCUUGACCCGAACUUUUUUUUCGAUCCCACAUUUCCUCAACCGUUAAGUUCCUUUGAGCAGCUAUGCCAAAGAGAUGAGGAAAACAGUGGGACAGCACUGAAUCAGAACACCACACAUCUAUCCAAAAUCUGAUCGUAUUGCCCUUCCCUACUCGGAACAUCAUGUUAUCCCAACACCACUCUGAUUCUUUCCAAAUCUCCUUCCAAAUCCCUACUCCAACCGCCCCAUUAGCCUUCUUUGGCCUCCAACCAAGACCCUCUUGCCCAUACUUCACCUUGAUAACUUGUUUCCAAAGGUUAUCUUUGUCACAAGCAUACCUCCAUAUCCACUUGCCAAGUAAAGCUUUGUUCAACAUGGCUAACUUCCUAAGGCCUAGCCCACCUUUAUCCUUGUCUUUA
RNAcentral lists this long non-coding RNA (13444 nucleotides) under Vitis vinifera (wine grape). RNAcentral describes it as "long non-coding RNA (VVIN_LNC004076)". Lineage: Eukaryota; Viridiplantae; Streptophyta; Magnoliopsida; Vitales; Vitaceae. The record is from RNAcentral.